This 518-nucleotide ribosomal RNA is filed under the name uncultured bacterium. RNAcentral describes it as "bacterial SSU rRNA". It matches the Rfam family "Bacterial small subunit ribosomal RNA", at positions 8 to 518 of the family's 1533-position model. The record is from RNAcentral.
AGAGUUUGAUUAUGGCUCAGGAUGAACGCUAGCGGCAGGCUUAACACAUGCAAGUCGAGGGGCAGCGCGGGGUAGCAAUACUCUGGCGGCGACCGGCGAAAGGGUGAGUAACGCGUGAGCAACGUGCCCGUAUGUGGGGGAUAGUCGAUGGAAAACGUCGCGUAAUACCCCGUAACACACGGAACUGCAUGGUUCUGUGUUGAAAGAUAUGAUUGCAUACGGAUCGGCUCGCGUGCCAUUAGGUAGACGGCGGGGUAACGGCCCACCGUGCCGACGAUGGCUAGGGGUUCUGAGAGGAAGGUCCCCCACAUUGGAACUGAGACACGGUCCAGACUCCUACGGGAGGCAGCAGUGAGGAAUAUUGGACAAUGGCCGGAAGGCUGAUCCAGCCAUGCCGCGUGCGGGAAGAAUGCCCUAUGGGUUGUAAACCGCUUUUGCGGGGGAGCAAUAAGGGUCACGCGUGGCCCGAUGAGAGUACCCCGCGAAUAAGCAUCGGCUAACUCCGUGCCAGCCGCCGC